GACGAACGCUGGCGGCGUGCUUAACACAUGCAAGUCGAACGGAAAGGCCAUGCUUUUGUGGCGUGCUCGAGUGGCGAACGGGUGAGUAACACGUGAGUAACCUGCCCCUGACUUUGGGAUAACUUCAGGAGACUGGGGCUAAUACCGGGUAGGAGCUCCUGAUGCAUGGUGGUGGUUGGAAAGAUUCGGCGGUUGGGGAUGGACUCGCGGUUUAUCAGCUGGUUUGUGAGGUAGGGGCUUACCAAGGCUUUGACGGGUAGCCGGCCUGAGAGGGUGAACGGCCACAUGGGGACUGAGAGACGGCCCAGACUCCUACGGGAGGCAGCAGGCGGGAAUAUUGCACAAUGGGGGCAAGCCUGAUGCAGCAACGCCGCGUGCGGGAUGACGGCUUUCGGGUUGUAAACCGAUUUGGCCGGUGACGAAGCGUGAGUGACGGUAAUGGGUAAAGAAGCACCGGCUAACUACGUG
This 468-nucleotide ribosomal RNA is filed under the name uncultured bacterium. RNAcentral's name for it is "partial 16S ribosomal RNA". It matches the Rfam family "Bacterial small subunit ribosomal RNA", at positions 28 to 507 of the family's 1533-position model. The record is from RNAcentral.